Molecule: RNA transcript, 1281 nt
Organism: Odontomachus brunneus
Lineage: Eukaryota; Metazoa; Arthropoda; Insecta; Hymenoptera; Formicidae
Exons: 4
Source: RefSeq, a predicted model, not a curated record
GUACAGCCACAGUAUGGGUAUGUUCCACUUAAAGCUCGUGACGCUCACGCUCGCAACGUCGCGAUCAUCCGUUCCACUAACGUGAGCGUUGUGAUUAGUGGAACGAGUUACGAGCAUCGUGGUCAGUCGUAAUAUUACAAAAAUGGCGGAAAUUAUAGUAGCAUCUACUGUGCAAAUACUACAGGAUUCUUCUAACGAAAGCAGUUCCAGUUCCGAAGAAGAAAUGUACGAAAUAUUGAAAGAGAAAGGGAAACGUAUUUUACGCCUUCGUAUAGAAAAUUAUACGCAAUUAGUUGUUUCGUGUUAUACGGCUGUAGAAUUUAAAAGCCAUUUUAGGUUAUCAGAUUGCAGCGCACAACUUUUGAAUACAUUCUAAGCAUUAUUAGUAAUGAUCUAGUAAGAAAAAUAAAAGGAUGUAGUACAAUUCCACCUGAUCAACAAUUAAUGAUUGCUUUAUGGAAGAUGGCUACAAUGGAUUCAUACAGGUUUGUGUAAUUUGUGAUAGAUUUAAUGUAGGUAAGGCUACAGCACUAAGAGCAGAAGAGUAACACAUGCUCUAUUUAGAAUUGCUCAGCAAUAUAUUUGUUGGCCUUCAGAUGAUCGCGCACAGAUUAUAAUGCACAAUUUUGAACGCGCUAGUGGAUUUCCUAAGAUAAUUGGUGCUAUAGAUGGCACUCACAUUAAAAUCGAAGCACCAAAACAAAAUCCAACAGAUUACAUAAAUCGAAAAGGAUAUCAUUCCAUUCAACUGCAAAGUUUUUAGACAAUCCGAAGUAGUUGCAUAUUUAAAUCAUGAAGACAAAUUUCCCUCUAACAGUCAUUUAGUGGGAGAUGCAGCAUAUGCAUUACACGAACAUCUCUUAGUGCCGUUUAAAAAUAACGGACAUCUGACUGCUGCACAAAAUCAUUACAAUUUUCUUCUAUCAUCUGCAAGAGUAGUUGUUGAAAUAUGUUUUGCGUUAUUAAAGGGACGAAUGAGAAGCUUAUUGCACUGCUUGCCAAUGACCAGAGUCGAUUUAAUGUCUGAGUAUAUAGUAGCAUGUUGUGUUAUCCACAAUAUAUGUGUACUACGUGGAGACGAACUUACAAUAAUAUCAGUGCCAUCACCAAUAGAUGUUACAACGCAAGUUUGCAAUAGGAACGAAAGGCAAGCUGCUAAUGGUGUCCAUAAAAGGAAUAUGAUUAUGCAUACUUUACAAAACAGAUAUAGAGUGUAAAAAAGUAGUUAUAUAUAUUAAUAUAAAUAAUGUAUGAAUAAAAAUUGCGACGUAUCACACAGUA